RNAcentral lists this microRNA precursor (204 nucleotides) under Oryza glumipatula. Its description in RNAcentral is "MIR812 microRNA precursor family". It matches the Rfam family "MIR812 microRNA precursor family". Lineage: Eukaryota; Viridiplantae; Streptophyta; Magnoliopsida; Poales; Poaceae. The record is from Rfam by way of RNAcentral.
UAUAACGGAUUUUAAGUUUUUACUUGCAACGUUUGACUACUCGUCUUAUUCAAUUUUUUUUGAAAUUAUUAUUUAUUUUAUUUUGUAACUUACUUUAUUAUCUAUGGUACUUUAAGCACAACUUUUCGUUUUUUAUAUUUGCAAAAAAAAUUCAAAUAAGACGAGUGGUCAAACGUUGCAAUCAAAAACUCAAAAUCCCUUAUA